RNAcentral lists this small nuclear RNA (55 nucleotides) under Eremothecium sinecaudum. Its description in RNAcentral is "HHRSNR36". The record is from RNAcentral. Lineage: Eukaryota; Fungi; Ascomycota; Saccharomycetes; Saccharomycetales; Saccharomycetaceae.
CAUCCAGCUCAAGAUCAAAGUAUUGAAAACUUUAACCGAGCAAGGCACAGGGCAA